UAAUACGGGAUGCUGCUGACGGUAUCUGCAGGAUAAGCACCGGCUAACUACGUGCCAGCAGCCGCGGGUAAUACGUAGGGUGCAAGCGUUAAUCGGAAAUUACUGGGCGUAAAGCGUGUGUAGGCGGUUCGGAAAGAAAGAUGUGAAAUCCCAGGGCUCAACCUUGGAACUGCAUUUUUAACUGCCGAGCUAGAGUAUGUCAGAGGGGGGUAGAAUUCCACGUGUAGCAGUGAAAUGCGUAGAUAUGUGGAGGAAUACCGAUGGCGAAGGCAGCCCCCUGGGAUAAUACUGACGCUCAGACACGAAAGCGUGGGGAGCAAACAGGAUUAGAUACCCUGGUAGUCCACGCCCUAAACGAUGUCAACUAGCUGUUGGGGCCGUUAGGCCUUAGUAGCGCAGCUAACGCGUGAAGUUGACCGCCUGGGGAGUACGGUCGCAAGAUUAAAACUCAAAGGAAUUGACGGGGACCCGCACAAGCGGUGGAUGAUGUGGAUUAAUUCGAUGCAACGCGAAAAACCUUACCUACCCUUGACAUGUCUGGAAAGCCGAAGAGAUUUGGCCGUGCUCGCAAGAGAACCGGAACACAGGUGCUGCAUGGCUGUCGUCAGCUCGUGUCGUGAGAUGUUGGGUUAAGUCCCGCAACGAGCGCAACCCUUGUCAUUAGUUGCUACGCAAGAGCACUCUAAUGAGACUGCCGGUGACAAACCGGAGGAAGGUGGGGAUGACGUCAAGUCCUCAUGGCCCUUAUGGGUAGGGCUUCACACGUCAUACAAUGGUCGGGACAGAGGGUCGCCAACCCGCGAGGGGGAGCCAAUCUCAGAAACCCGAUCGUAGUCCGGAUCGCAGUCUGCAACUCGACUGCGUGAAGUCGGAAUCGCUAGUAAUCGCGGAUCAGAAUGUCGCGGUGAAUACGUUCCCGGGUCUUGUACACACCGCCCGUCACACCAUGGGAGUGGGUUUCACCAGAAGUAGGUAGCCUAACCGUAAGGAGGGCGCUACCACGGGGAUCAAGU
RNAcentral lists this ribosomal RNA (1013 nucleotides) under Alcaligenes sp. 6-3(2010). Its description in RNAcentral is "bacterial SSU rRNA". It matches the Rfam family "Bacterial small subunit ribosomal RNA", at positions 455 to 1472 of the family's 1533-position model. The record is from RNAcentral. Lineage: Bacteria; Pseudomonadati; Pseudomonadota; Betaproteobacteria; Burkholderiales; Alcaligenaceae.